AUUGAACGCUGGCGGCAGGCUUAAAACAUGCAAGUCGAACGAGUGGCGGAAGGGUGAGUAAUGUCAGGGAAACUGCCCGAUGGAGGGGGAUAACUACUGGAAACGGUAGCUAAUACCGCAUACCAUCGGAUGGGACCAGAUGGGAUUAGCUUGUAGGUGAGGUAACGGCUCACCUAGGAGACGAUCCCUAGCCGGUCUGAGAGGAUGACCAGCCAGACUGGAACUGAGACACGUGCCAGACUCCGACGUGAGGCAGCAGUGGGGAAUAUUGCGCAAUGGGCGCAAGCCUGAUGCAGCCAUGCCGCGUGUAUGAAGAAGGCCUUCGGGUUGUAAAGUACUUUCAGCGGGGAGGCGUUACCCGCAGAAGAAGCACCGGCUAACUCCGUGCCAGCAGCCGCGGUAAUAC
RNAcentral lists this ribosomal RNA (406 nucleotides) under uncultured bacterium. RNAcentral describes it as "partial 16S ribosomal RNA". It matches the Rfam family "Bacterial small subunit ribosomal RNA", at positions 30 to 526 of the family's 1533-position model. The record is from RNAcentral.